RNAcentral lists this transfer RNA (56 nucleotides) under Bos taurus (domestic cattle). It matches the Rfam family "tRNA", at positions 9 to 63 of the family's 71-position model. Rfam says of the family: Transfer RNA (tRNA) molecules are approximately 80 nucleotides in length. Their secondary structure includes four short double-helical elements and three loops (D, anti-codon, and T loops). The record is from Rfam by way of RNAcentral. Lineage: Eukaryota; Metazoa; Chordata; Mammalia; Artiodactyla; Bovidae. RNAcentral also lists the same sequence under 3 other names.
AGCUCAGUUGGUGAAGCAUCUGCCUGCAAUGCAGGAGACCCUGGUUUGAUUCCUGG